ACGGAGGGUGCAAGCGUUGUCCGGAAUCACUGGGCGUAAAGGGCGCGUAGGCGGCCACCGCAAGUCGACUGUGAAAUCUCCGGGCUUAACUCGGAAAGGUCAGCCGAUACUGCGGGGCUAGAGUGCAGAAGGGGCAACUGGAAUUCUCGGUGUAGCGGUGAAAUGCGUAGAUAUCGAGAGGAACACCUGCGGCGAAGGCGGGUUGCUGGGCUGACACUGACGCUGAUUGUGCGAAAGCUAGGGGAGCGAACGGGA
RNAcentral lists this ribosomal RNA (255 nucleotides) under uncultured prokaryote. RNAcentral describes it as "partial 16S ribosomal RNA". It matches the Rfam family "Bacterial small subunit ribosomal RNA", at positions 525 to 777 of the family's 1533-position model. The record is from RNAcentral.